AAGGUGUUGUUCUUUGGUAGAGAGAGCUUCGCGAACAAUUUCCUCUCUCUCACUCUCGAUAGACUCUUCAUGUACAAUGGCGUCGAAUCUCCUAAAAUGGAUGCAGGUCACUAGUACAAUUUGGUUAUGGUUCUCCCAAACUCAUACAAUGUCCAUGGAGCUGCGCUUGGGGAGAAGGAACCUUGGGUGGGCAUAUGAGGUAGCUGAGGAUGUGAAAAGGUAAGUAGAACCUAAUUCUGGCUCCGGAAACGCUCUUCUGCUUCGAGGUACGUUUGAUUUCUCCUCUGUUUGCUCUCUAAUAUUUCCCUUUGGGAUGUUGAGAAUUAUUCGUCGGAGGGAGAAGAAAUUAUUCCGAGCGGUUAGGUUUACAUUGGUUUUGAAAUUAAAAUUGAUUUAAAUGGUAGUGAAAUUAGAAUUGCUUUUGGGUUCGGUUUACACUGGUUAAGAGAAGAAAACAAAAAAAUAUUCACGCGAUGGGGAUUUUGGAGACAAGUGCGUCGAUUGAAAAAGGCAUGAUGUCGAAAGGGGUACACCUACAGAAUUGCUCUCACUCGCGCAACGCUCAAUUUGUGCGACUGGGUCUGAAAUAGAGCCUUCUGAUUGGCUGAAAAACUCUAAAAAAAGUGAAAUAGUAUACAUGUUGCUAGCUCCUCUUUUAUGUUAUUAUUAUUUAUUUUUUCGUCUUCUUCUCUCAAUGUGAUGAAAGUUGUUGUUUUUUUUAAGAUACAAUUGAUUCUACUGGAAAUCCAUUCAUGUCACCAAAAGAACACAUAAUUUUGUGAAUUUGUAUGCUGGCAAAGUUUCAUUCAACAAUUCUGUGUUCAUAGAGGAUCAAAAAACAACUUUUUGGAAAGUGAUUUGACAAUACUUUGUUUAACUCUCUUGAUAACAUCACUUCAUUCACCACUGUGGUUUUAAAAGGGAUUGCUCACAAACUUCUGAUCUUCUUUUUCUGGCAUUAGAGCUUUAGAUUGAUGCUGCUGCCACAUUAUAUAUAUAUAUAUAUAUAUAUAUAUAUAUAUAUUUGAAAUGAUUGAAAUUGGGUUUCAUUGAGCUAACUAAGAUCACAUUAGAGAAAAUCAUGAAUCAGGAGGCAUCUGAUUGCUUGUGUUUAAGCUUGAAGAAAUGUUUGUUCAUUGCGCAGAUCAAAGAACAACUGGAUGCAGACAGUGUCGGUUUAUGUCUGUUGAAGGACUUUGCAUUAACGUGGUAUCAGCGGCGUUCAAGGGAAAUCCUCAGUGAACAGGCAGAUGAUGAUGUAUAAAGCCAUAUGCGAGGAGGAGCUUCAGAAUGUGGUUCAUGCCGUUGAUCAGAUGACAACAAAGACUCCUUCACAAGUUUGAAAGGCUUACACAAGUGACCAAAGCUCUCAAUGAGCCUGCAAACAUUCUUGCUGUUCUAGAUUAUGUUGCGAACCUGUCAAACAUGAAGAAGGAAGAGCUUGCGGAGUUAAGUUAUGUGAAUUCUGUGAGGUUGUUUUCUUAUACAGGUUCUAAAUUUCUUACAGACCAGUAGAAAUGGUGUCUCUCUACAGAAUUGUAACAUCAUCUCUGAUCAAAGAGACAAAAGAACAAUCAUCUUCUGUUUCUGCUGUUGUGUGUUAUAUUAUUUGUUUGUCGUUAAUGUGUUUGGACAAACUCAUUCAAUACCAAAAUCAUCUCUCAUUAA
Long non-coding RNA from Arabidopsis lyrata subsp. lyrata, 1668 nucleotides. RefSeq lists it as uncharacterized. The transcript has 4 exons. NCBI's taxonomy places the organism in Eukaryota, Viridiplantae, Streptophyta, Magnoliopsida, Brassicales, Brassicaceae. The record is from RefSeq and is a predicted model, not a curated record.